This 450-nucleotide ribosomal RNA is filed under the name uncultured bacterium. Its description in RNAcentral is "partial 16S ribosomal RNA". It matches the Rfam family "Bacterial small subunit ribosomal RNA", at positions 29 to 523 of the family's 1533-position model. The record is from RNAcentral.
AGCGAACGCUGGCGGCAGGCUUAACACAUGCAAGUCGAACGCAUCCUUCGGGGUGAGUGGCAGACGGGUGAGUAACACGUGGGAACGUACCUCUUUGUACGGAAUAGCUUUUGGAAACGAAAGGUAAUACCGUAUACGCCCUUUUGGGGGAAAGAUUUAUCGCAGAGAGAUCGGCCCGCGUCUGAUUAGCUAGUUGGUGAGGUAAUGGCUCACCAAGGCGACGAUCAGUAGCUGGUCUGAGAGGAUGAUCAGCCACACUGGGACUGAGACACGGCCCAGACGCCUACGGGAGGCAGCAGUGGGGAAUAUUGGACAAUGGGGGCAACCCUGAUCCAGCCAUGCCGCGUGAGUGAUGAAGGCCUUAGGGUUGUAAAGCUCUUUUGUCCGGGAAGAUAAUGACUGUACCGGAAGAAUAAGCCCCGGCUAACUUCGUGCCAGCCGCCGCGGUAA